UGCAGGACACCCAAUAUUUCAGGACCUCAA
This 30-nucleotide non-coding RNA is filed under the name Rattus norvegicus (Norway rat). The record is from RNAcentral. Lineage: Eukaryota; Metazoa; Chordata; Mammalia; Rodentia; Muridae.